UAAAAAUAUUAAUUUAUUAGAAUGUUAGGUGUAUGUAUUUAGUAUAGAUUCUUUUAAUAAUAUAAUAAUAUUUUAAAUUAAAAAAUAAAGUAAAAAUGGUUAAAAUAUGAACAUUAUUAGCAGCAAAGAACAGUGAAUAUAAGUGUUUUACUGUGACAGUGAAGGUGGAGUUUGGAGUCUAGAGGUUGUUGAGGACGAUGUUGGCGAGAUUCAAACCUUCACAUGUGGUGUCAUCAUCAGAGAUCUUGGAAGAAAAAGACCAAGAGAACCCUGAGGUGGCAGAGAACCCAACGCUCACCCACUCCGGAAGAAGGCUCUCGAGCUCCACUCUCUGAGAGACGAUGUAGUUCGUUGGCUGAGAAGGGUAAACCAGAGAAGCCACCAAGAGCUUCGUGGAGGACUCAUAGGUGAUCUGAACCUCCGCGUUUUCUCCGUUGACCAAUUCCCACGGCGUCGUUUUCAUAGACUCGAUGGAGUUCACGUCGAUGCCAAUAUGACGGCCUUCGGGGUCCCACUCCUGGUUGACGAAGGUGUCGAACUCCACAGCCACAGUAUGGGCUUUGCUGUUGUAUUUGUCGCUGUCGAAAAGACCUAGAAAACCGCCUUGCUUUGUUGGGAACGAGAGCAAAGCCAAGGCCAUCGGCGGCUUUUGCUUUGUUGGGAGCGUGGAUAUUGAAUUUGAAGUUUGUGGUGAAGCUGGCGACUUUUCCGGUGGCGCUGUCUUAGAUUUGGAUGGGGGCGGAGUAGAAGGCGCGGCCCAGAGAGGCCACCGUGGGUUCUCCGUUGCUAUUAACAUUGGUUAGUCGUAACUGGCCGGAGGAUGAGACGGAGGCAUCGCCUUGGAGGAUAAGGUUGGUUUCGUUGAACCUAUCGAAGCUGAAGGAGGUUUCGCUGGCUGAGUUUGCGUGGCUGAGAAGCACAAGGAAGAGGCUAGGUUGAGUAAGUUGGAGGAAGCCAUGUAUGCAUUCAUGCAUUAACCAUCACUCUCUUCUCUAUUUAUACAACAACAAAUGCAAAAUCUUUCCAACUUUUUUAUUUCAUUCUAUUAUUAAAUACGUGUUUUCGAAUGAUUAACUUUUUUCUUUUAUAAUAUUAUUUGAGAGAGAAAUAAGAAUAUUAAAAUAAGAAUUAAGCAACGAUUGAUUUUACAACGAUUCAACGUUUUGCUACGAUUCUUAAUUACAAUGUGUCGAUAACUCUUUUUAAGUAUUUGGGUAUGCUGGUAGGGGGUGUCAUUGGAGAGGUGCUUUUUGAGCGGACAAAAAUUCCAAAAAUCCACCAUUUAUUAUUAAUCUUUUUUAUUAUUUAGGUAUUUUUCAGGUAUUUUAAGGUUUUAGUUCUCACAGUUACCCUAAUUAGAAAAUUCUAAUUUUUUUUUCAUGAUUUUUUAGUUAUAAAUUAGUGAUAUAUCAAAACCCUAUAAAUUAGUGAUAAUUCAUAUUUUUCGUGAAGGGAAUGCGUGUGCUAAUAAGUUGGCUAAUUUAGGAUUUAUUCAUAGAGAAUCAUUUCAUUGGUAUAAUAGACUCCCAGCUAGUCUGUUCUUAGAAUUCUUUAUGAAUAGGUAUAAUCUACCUAUUUAUCGUUUUUGUUAACAUAUGGGUUUUGGUCUAGUCCCGUCAUAUUUUUGUAUUUUCUUUCUUUUUUCUUUUUUUUUAAUAAUAUUUUUUUUAUGUGAUGACAAAUGAUUGUUGUUACUUGAGGUGUCAGCUUAGCUGAGAUGUCAAGUUGCAUAGUGAUGCCUAACACGAAAACUUUAUAUAAAAAAAAACCCUAUGGACAUAUAUAUGUCAGAUUUGUUAGAAUUUGCAUAUGGAGAUCAUUGUAAGAGCAUGACUGGAAGCAAAUAAUAAUAUUUAACUUAUUCUUUAUAAUUUUUUAACACUAAUUAAUGUGAAUCCUUUUUCCCGCCAUAGAAUAUGUGAGAAAUGGGCCACGUAUUUCCUUAAUUUCUAUAACUCUAAGAUAAAUAAUCAAUAAUAUAGGAAUUAGAUAGAUAGAUAGGAAUAUAUAUGUUAUUAGUGUUUGUAAUACAUCUUUAUCAAUGUAUAUAAUUUGAUUAUCUGAAUAUAUGUAUCAGGGCUAACUUAGUUUUAAUUGUACAAGUCAAUUUAGAUAGGAUUAACAUUAAACAGAAUGAACUAAACAAAAAAUUCUCAUUUAAAAUGGCGGCUUUUACCAUAACUGCCAUUUUAUAUCUUUCAAGAAGGUAUAAAUGACGACUUUUUAUCAUAACCGUCAUUUUAUAUCUUUAAGGAGGAUCUAAAACGGUGACUUUUUACCAUAACUGUUGUUUUAUAUCUUUUAAAAAGGUCUAAAACGACGACUUUUACCAUAAUUGCUGUUUUAGACUGAAUAUAACACAACGAUUAUAUAAUCUCUGUCUUUGCUUGAAAAGAAUAGACUAUAUGUUGAAAGACAACGCUACAAGAACCGUUGUUUUAAUACUAAAAUGAUCGUCGUGAUUUAAUUUUUUUCAUCAGUAAUUGUAAAGUUUCUUUUUAGAGUGUUGAUAAACAUAUAUCGAUUUGAAAUGAAUAGAGUUAGAAAGUAAAAAAAAAAUACAAGAAAAAUGUUAAAUAAUGUCAUAGAAAUAGAAAUGGAAGAGAAGUGUAAAGAAAUUUAAAUAAAAAUUAGAUGUGAGAGUAAGUUAGUUUAUAAAUUGAUUUGUUUAAUGAUUUAAUAACUGUAAAAAUCAAAUAAAAGUAAAUUAUAGUAAUAUGUACUAAGAUUUAAUGUAAUUACACCCAUGUUUCCUUUUUUUUUCUCUGUUAUACUUUAACUUAUAAUAAUCCUUUCCAUUAUUAUAAACUUUUUUAAAAUUACAUAUUUUUCAAAUUAUGCACUAAUAAUAUAAUAAUACACAUGCUGAAUAAUACGCAGUGUAAAUAUAUGAGCUCCUAUUUUAUUUAUGCUCCCAUUUGUGACAGAUGAAGAUUAUUAGCAGGAAAGAAGAGUGAGAGUGAGUAUAAGCAGGGUUUUACUGUCACAGUGAAGGUGGUUUUUGGAAUCUAGAGGAUCUUGUUGAGGAGGAUGUUGGCGAGAUUCGAAUCUUCAGAUGUGGUGUGACAGGAGAACUUGGAAGAAAAAGACCAAGAGAGCAGGUCGUGCGUUUCACUGGACACGUUAGAUGACCCUGAGGUGGAAGAGAACCCAACGCUCACAUUUAAUAAUAAUAUUAUGUGAUACCUCACAAUUAUUUAUCUUAUUAAUUGAUCAAUUACCAUAAUUAUCCUAUUAUAUUAUUGGUAAUUACUAUUAUCAUAAAUAAUUAGGGUUUCUUCUUGGGUGUAUUAUAAAUAGAGAUUACCAGACAACUAAAGAGACACUCUUAUAUUCUAACAUCACACGGUCGAAACUCAUUCCCUAAAGGGAUUUUCGAGCCUCUCAUCUCUUUGUCUCUCUGCUCACAUAAUUCCAUUUUAAGCGAUACACUCUAAAGGGAAACCCGAUCAAGAUCAUGUCUUCGUCCCUCAGCCAUGCGAUCACGGGUUUACCAAGUAUUAUCUAAUCAUUAUUCUCGUUUCAUUAUAUGAUUGAGGAAUCCUAAUCCAACAUGUGGUAUCAGAGUCAGGUUUAUGUUGUUUAAUCGAUUCUUCUUUUGUUUUCCCUAAAUUUGGAAGAAACGAGGAUUUUGAUUCAACCUAUUGAUUUUCGAUGUUUUUAUUUUGGUAUAUUAUUGAACCACUUAUUUUCGAAAAUCCACCUUGAUAUCAUAAAAUAAAUUUUAAUUUUUUCGAGAUCCAUAAUUAUUUUAAGAUUUUGAAAAUUAAAAUUUAAUAUUAAUGUUAUGUGUUCUUCAUAAUUUUCGUGAGUAUUCCCUUAUUUGGAAUGGAAUUAAUUUUGAUUAUAUGUUCAUCAUCAUUAUUUGUUGUUCGUAUGAAUUUUUGAAAAUUAUGAAUAAAGAAUUUUCAAAAAUUAAUUAUUCCCUUAAUUAGGAAAUUUUGAAAAUAAUAUUUUUCCUUAAUUCAAAUUUUCGAAAUACAAUUGAUUCCCUUAAUUAGGAAUGGAUUUGAUUUGAUUUGAUUGUGUUUUUCUAAAAAAAUAAAUAAAAAUUGAUAUCUUAGUCUCCACGUUUUUCCUUAUUUAGGAUAGUAUAUUCUUGCCUUAUUAAUUUUCGGGUAUUAUUAUUAUUAUUACUAUUUUCGAAAAUAGCAGUCGUGUCAAACUUGGAAACAUAUCAAUCUAAUUAAAAUUUUGAAGACCAAAUCUAAAAUCAAAUCCUUAAUAUUCCGCUACUCACUUAUCGAGUUUACGAGUAACAUAUUUACGCGUUUCCUUUUAUUUAUCGAAUUAAAUAUGGUAAAUCUCAUGAUACCGUAAUUAUGUUUUAAAAAAAAUACUUAUUUUGUUAAACUCUUAAAACAAAAAUAUUAAGUUUGACAAAAUUAAAAUUAAAUUUUUUGCUUAAACUUAAUAACAGGAGUCUCCCUUCUGUCCAACGAUGAUGGGUUAUGUCUUGUUAUUUUAGUCUAAUUAAGCACCUUCACUUACUUGUGAGUACACUUAAUUAUUAAAUAUUCGCAUGACAUUUGCCUAAAAACACAAUUAUUUCUUAUUUCUAUUCUGUCCAACGAUGUUUGAUGCACUUGUGUUUUGCAAACUUAAUAUGUGCAUAAGCUUAAAUGUUCAAUUCUGUCCAAAGAUGAUGUGUCACAUUCUUAUUGCACAUACCUUACUUAUAAUUGUUCAUUAUUCUUAAAUAAUUGGUAAUUAACCAAAGUGAAAGCUGAUUGUUUAAGUAGAACCUAAUCUAGUCUAUUAUUUUGAUGUUAUAAUAGAUUUUAUCACAGCUUCAUUAUCAUAAUGGUUCUUACUUAUGCCUGCUUUAGAUCUAAGUUUCCAAAUGUCACUCUAACUUUUUCCUUAGCCUAAGUAUCUUAAUUCGUCGUCUAACCAGCCCCUAAUAUGGAAAUUGAGACCUUGACUGGUGAAAAUCAUUCUUCUUGGAAAGAUUCCUUGAUGCUNNNNNNNNNNNNNNNNNNNNNNNNNNNNNNNNNNNNNNNNNNNNNNNNNNNNNNNNNNNNNNNNNNNNNNNNNNNNNNNNNNNNNNNNNNNNNNNNNNNNNNNNNNNNNNNNNNNNNNNNNNNNNNNNNNNNNNNNNNNNNNNNNNNNNNNNCAAUCAUUAGAGGAGGCAUUCCUGAUUCACCUAACGCUAAGGCUUAUCUAGCUUCUGUGGAGGAACAAUUUCAAGGAACCUCUAAGGCUCAUGCUAGUACUCUUAUCUUGAAGUUGGUGACUACAAAAUAUGACGGGCGCACCGGCAUUCGUGAACACAUCCUGAUGAUGAGCGACAUGGCCCGUAAACUUAAGGGAUUAGCCAUGGAGAUCAGUGAAGGUUUCCUAGUCCACUUCAUUAUGACUUCUCUUCCUUCUGCGUUUGAAGCCUUCAAAGUCAACUAUAAUACUCAGAAGGACAAAUGGUCCAUGAGUGAGUUGAUUGCUAUGACUGUUCAAGAAGAAGAGCGCCUGAAGUUGGAGAAACCAGAUGUUGCUUACCUCGUGGCUGCUGAGUCGAAGAAGCGGAAGGGCAAAUUCCAUAAAAAGGAAUCUAAUAAGGUCCCUAAAACUGAUGCAAGUGCACCCUCCAGCUCUAACAAAUUCACUAGCAAGUUCUACUGCAAGUUCUGCCGCAAGGUAGGACAUAAGCAGUCUGAGUGCUCAAGCUUUAAGGAGUGGUUGGCUAAGAAAGGUAAUCAUCUAAAUAUGAUAAUUGAGUCCUUUAAUUUAAAUGUUCCAACUAAUACUUGGUGGUUUGACUCUGGUUCUAUGGUUCAUGUGACCAAUUCAAUCCAGGGAUUCCUUACAAUCCAGAAGCUGGAAAGAAACCAAAGAACACUUAAGAUGGGGAAUGGACAAGAACUAUUUGUCGAAGCUGUCGGAAUCUUAGAAUUACUUAUGAAAACUGGAAAAUGUAUUAAACUUUAUGAUACCUUAUAUAUUCCCGAAAUUACUCAGAAUCUUGUAUUAGGACCAAAGUUAGACAUUGAUGGUUUUUAUGUUUCCCAUGGUCAUGGCAAACUUACUAUUUCUUUAAAUUCUCAAUUGUUUGGUACUGGUUUUCUGGAUAACGGUCUCUAUAAGUUAGAACUAGAUGAUAACUUCUCCAAAUCUUUGUUAUCAUAUAAUAUUAAUGAGAACUUAACAAAGACCAAGAGAAAACGAGACUUAGAAACUUCAUCCAUGUUGUGGCAUCAACGUUUAGGCCACAUUUCACGAGAUCGCUUAUCUCGACUUGUGAAGGAUGAAGUCUUACCAUCUCUCAAUUUCACUGAUUUUGGAACAUGUGUCAAAUGCCUCAAAGGCAAAAUGACAUCCACGACUAAGAAAGGCAAAAUGACAUCCACGACUAAGAAAAAAAAAUACAAGAAAAAUAUUAAAUAAUGUCAUAGAAAUAGAAAUGGAAGAGAAGUGUAAAGAAAUUUAAAUAAAAAUUAGAUGAGAGAGUAAGUUAGUUUAUAUUGAUUUCUUUAGUGAUUUAAUAACUGUAAAUAAGAAAGAGUAAAUUAUAGUAAUAUUUACUAAGAUUCAAUGAAGUUACACCAAUGUUUCCUUUUUUUAAUAUGUUAUACUUUAAUUUAUAAUAAUCCUGUCCAUUACUAUAAAAAUUUUAAAAAUUACAUAUUUUUCAAAUUAUGCACUAAUAACACGCAUAUAUGGUCAAACAGAAUAAACUAAAGCAAAAAAUUCUCAUUUAAAAUAGCGGCUUUUAUCAUAACGGUCGUUCUAUAUCUUUGAAGAUGGUAUAAAAUGAUGAGUUUUUAGCAUAACUGCCAUUUUAUAUCUUUCAGGAGGAUUUAAAACAACGAUUUUUUAGCAUAAUUGUCGUUUUAUAUCUUUAAAAAAUGCCUAAAAUGAAGACUUUUACCAUAAUCGUUAUUUUAGACUGAAUAUAACACGACGAUUAUAUAACCGUUGUCUUUACUUAAAGAGAAUGGACUUCAUGCUGAAAGACAGCGGUAUAAGAAUCGCUCAUUCAUGCUGAAAGACAGCGGUAUAAGAAUUGCUCAUUUAGUGCUGAAAUGACCGUUGUCAUUUAGCUUUUUUGCACCAAUAAUUAUAAAGUUUAUUUUUAGAGUGGUGGUGAUAAACAUAUAUCGAUGUGAGAAUAAGUUAGUUUAUAUUGAUUUGUAUAGUGAUUUAAUAACUGUAAAAGUCGAAUAAGAAAGAGUAAAUUAAAGUAAUAUUUUCUUAUGUUUAAUGUAAUUUAAACCAAUGUUUUUUUUUUCUAUGUUAUACUUUAACUUAUACUAAUCCUUUCCAUUAUUAUAAACUUUUUAAAAAUUACAUAUUUUUUAUUUUUCAAAUUAUGCACUAACAAUACGAAUAUGCAUGGUCAAUAAUACGCAGUGUAAAUUGUGUAAAUAUAUGAGCUCCCAUUUUAUUUAUUUAUUUUAGUUUGUGUGACAAAUGAACAUUAUUAGUAGCAAAGAAGAGUGAAGAGUGACUAUAAGUAGCGUUACCAUGAGACUAUGUUACUAUAUGAGACUAUGAGGUAAUAUGGCCUGAAAAAUGUUGAAGGAACUUGUCAAAGACUCAUAGACAAAGUCUUCAAGGGGAUUGGCCGGAACAUAAGGGAAAUGGUCGGAACGAUUUACGUGGACGACAAACUCAUGUGCCCAACACAUAAAGAUUUGAAAGAACUCUUUGAAGCUAUUAGGCUAUGAUGUUCAGACACUUCUCUUAAAUGAUGUGUCGGUGGUAGAUACUCAUAUCGGACACCGACAUUCGUAUGACACUUGUAGGACACGUAUUCGUGAAAUGUCCAAUUCAAAAAGUAUUUGUUGGAUUUUUGACAAUUUUAAUACAAUUCUAACAGAAUUUUAAAAAGGAAAAAUACAUUAAUUUUCUAAAAACUCAAACUUAUUGUAUAAAUUUUUAUUAUGAUUAUAAAAAUAAGAAACAAAUCAUUUUGAAGUAGUCAUGAAAAACAUUUUUUUCUCUUUUCUCCAAAAAACAAUCUGUAACAUACUUGUGUACAUAAAUCUUUAUUAUCAAUUUAUAUAAUUUAUAAUUAUAUAAUAUAUAGAUUCGUGUUUUCAUAUCCUACAUUUUAAAUAUUUAUUUUAAAUAUUUUCCGUAUCUUUACGUUUGUGUCCUUGUUUUAUCGGUGUCCGUGUUAUACAGCUCUUAAGUGAAUGAACAUGCGGCUAAAUCCUGAAAAGUUUGCGUUCAGGAAUAUAAGUUAUUGGGUUUAGGGUUUAAUCUCGAGAAAUGUAGGGCGAUAGAGAUAACAAGAUGAUCAAAAAUACAAAAAAAAGAAGAAGAGUAAAAUAGAGUAAACUCCAUUAUGUUAUUAUUUUGGAAAACUUUUCUUCAACAGUCCAAAGUUUGGAGUAAAAAACAAGCAUUUGACAGCUCCUUUUAAUAAUAUAAUAAUAUAUGAGCUCCCAUUUUAUUUUCUGUGACAGAGAAACAUUAUUAGCAGGAAAGAACACUGAGUGAAAGCAGUGUUUUAGUGUCACAGGGAAGGUGGAGUUUGGAGUCUAGAGGAUUUGGUUGAGGACCAAGUUGGCGAGAUUCAAAGCUUCAGAUGUGGUGCCAUCGGAGAGCUUGGAAGCAAAAGACCAAGAGAGGACGUCGUUCGUUUCAACGUUCCCUUUAGUAAUCCCAGUGGUGGCAGAGAACCCAACGCUCACCCACUCGGGAAGAACGCUCUUCAGGUCCACUGUGUCAGAGACGGUGAAGCUUGUUUUCAGAGAAGGGUAAACCAGAGAAGCCACCAAGAGCUUCGUGGAGGACUCAUAGGUGAUAUGAACCUCGGCGUUUUCUCCGUUGACAAAAUCCCACCGCGUCGUUUUGAUAGACUUGAUGGAGUUCACGUCGAUGCCAAUAUGACGCUCUCUGGGGUCCCAGUCCUUGUUGUAGAGGGUGUCGAACUCCACAGCCACAGUAUGGAAAUUGCUGUUGCUGCCGUCGAAAAGACCUAGAAAACCGCCUUUGUCUUUGGGCUGAGAGCCCACGGGGACGAGAGCAAAGGCAAGGCCAUCGGCGGGUCCUGCAUUGUUGGGAACCUGUAUAUUGAAUGUGAAGUUGGUGUCGAAGCUGGCGACGUUGCCGGUGGUGUAGUCCCAGAUUUGGAUGGGGGCGGAGUAGAAGGCGCGGCCCAGAGAGCCCACCGUGGGUUCUCCGUUGCUGUUAACAUUGGUUAGUCGUAACUGGCCGGAGGAUGAGACGGAG
Molecule: long non-coding RNA, 9177 nt
Filed under: Phaseolus vulgaris (common bean)
Lineage: Eukaryota; Viridiplantae; Streptophyta; Magnoliopsida; Fabales; Fabaceae
Description: long non-coding RNA (PVUL_LNC003696)
Source: RNAcentral